This 324-nucleotide long non-coding RNA is filed under the name Elaeis guineensis (African oil palm). RNAcentral's name for it is "long non-coding RNA (EGUI_LNC048627)". Lineage: Eukaryota; Viridiplantae; Streptophyta; Magnoliopsida; Arecales; Arecaceae. The record is from RNAcentral.
UCUAAGCUAGUCUUUGUAAUUUAUACCGGACAAACGAUUGGUUUCAAGGAUGCAGGCUAGAGAAUUUGAGACUAAUAUUGUUUAACUGUGAGAGUAGAGAUUUAAGUUAGACUUUUGUACUUAAUGUUGUAUUUGCUUCUAGAGACUUUAGGAUGCAAACAAUGACUCCCAUUAAUUUAUCGGAUCCCUCCACCCUCCGGAAGAAAAUGAAAACCCUAAUGCGAUAAAGAAUUUUUAGUGGAUGUUGCGGUUCCACCGAUGACAUGUACCUCACCUAACAGUUAUUGGUAACAUGCACACCGAUGCAUAGGCAACUCUUUACCC